Pezoporus occidentalis (night parrot) is the source of this 547-nucleotide long non-coding RNA. RefSeq lists it as uncharacterized. The transcript has 6 exons. The record is from RefSeq and is a predicted model, not a curated record. NCBI's taxonomy places the organism in Eukaryota, Metazoa, Chordata, Aves, Psittaciformes, Psittacidae.
CGGCUCCCUCUUCCGGGCGGCAUGGCGGCGGUGCGGCGGGCGCGUGUGGCAGGGUGCAAAGCCAGGGUGAAAACACUCACCUGCUUAGGAAGCUGAUUCCUUCACUGGACCAGCACUAAACCUGCACCAUGGAGGAAAGCAUCCUGCAGAGGCCUGGGGCUGUACUGCUGCCCAGAGACAGCUUUGGCAAGAGAGCAAGUUGGGCUUCAGACUGAAGAUCAGUAACACUUCCUGACAGGCUGAGCCAACAGACGUGACAGCGGACUUCCUUAACAACCAAGAAGCAGCAGAAGGAAGAUGGUUCUGGAGCAGAUUUCACAAAUGGCCAUUGAUAGACCGUUGGAAACAGGGUGAAAUGGCCACCAGUGUGUAACUGCAGGCUUCUCCUCACUGCAGCCCCAUCGUGGGUGAGGAGCUCUUCAGCUGACAGUUGCUCUGCUCUGACACUGUCUUUUCUCACCUAGGACCCGAUCUGCAGCUGGCAGGAGGAAGAAGUGCUUCCCUGCUGUUUGCUGUUCUGGAAUAAAACAGGUUGUGGAAAAUCAGA